GCCAACAUCUCGAGACAUCGCCGCUACGUCUGCGAUCUCCACUCCUAUAGACAGCAAAAUCGUGAGCUCCGCCAUGUUGCUCUCCUUUAUAUGGUGUUGGAGUCUUCUGCCUAAGUGAUAAUUUUGUGUUUGUUUGGUGGUGGUUUUGGUUUGGAUUGGUGGGGUGGUUAGAUAAUGUUUUUUCGGUCUUUUUUUUACUCUUUUCUGGAUUUUGCUUUCUUGCAGGUCUAUGUUGAUUUUGGAUUGUGUUUUCAGGUGUUAUGUGAUUUCUUUGUCUUUUUCUCUGACUGAUAAAGGCGGUGAAAGAGGUGAUGCGCGGUGGUUAUCUCAUCUAAAGGCACACAUUAAAAUGAAUCGGUGAUCGGUCGGUUUGCCGUUGCUUUUUUGGGAUUAAGCUGUGGGCUUAUUUUGUGAGUUUAGUAUGCAUUUAUGGGCUUUUGGUUGGAGUUUUCUGCUAAUGAGUAUUUUGGACUUUGGGCUUUUGACUCCUUUAUAUAUAUUUU
This 503-nucleotide long non-coding RNA is filed under the name Manihot esculenta (cassava). RNAcentral's name for it is "long non-coding RNA (MESC_LNC003059)". Lineage: Eukaryota; Viridiplantae; Streptophyta; Magnoliopsida; Malpighiales; Euphorbiaceae. The record is from RNAcentral.